GUCUUUUUGUUAAUUAUUUAAGGUUUGGCCUGCUCCAUGAUUAAAUUAAAUAGCCGCAGUAUUUUGACUGUGCAAAGGUAGCAUAAUCAUUAGUUUUUUAAUUGAAAGCUGGAAUGAAUGGUCGGAUGAGAAAGAAGCUGUCUCAUUAUAAUUUGGGUUGAAUUUUAUUUUUAAGUUAAAAAGCUUAAAUGUUAUAGAAAGACGAGAAGACCCUAUAGAGUUUAAUAAGUUAGUGGGUUAAUUAUUUUAGGGUUUUAAUAUAGUUAGUUUAUUACUUGUUUGGUUGGGGUGACAUGAGAAUUUAAUUAACUUCUUAUAAUUUUAACAUUAAUUAAUGAAUGGAUGAUCCUGAUAUUUGGAUUUUAAGAGAAAAUUACCUUAGGGAUAACAGCGUAAUCUUUUUGGAGAGUUCUUAUCGAUAAAAGGGAUUGCGACCUCGAUGUUGGAUUAAAGUUAAGUUUUGGUGUAGAAGCUAAAAUUUUAAGUCUGUUCGACUUUUAAAACUUUACAUGAUCUGAGUUUAAACCGGCGUGAGCCAGGUUGGUUUCUAUCUUUUAUAGGUAAAAUAUUUUAGUACGAAAGGACCAGAUAUUUAAAUAAUAUUUUUGAUUUGAAUAAAAUUGUUAUUUUGGCAGAUUAGUGCAAUAGAUUUAGAAUCUUUAUAUGUAAUUGUAUUACAAAUAACAAUUUAUUUUGUUGAUUUAAUUUUAUUGUUUAUUUCAGUGUUAAUUUUAAUUGUGUGUGUUUUGGUGGGGGUGGCAUUUUUAACUCUUUUGGAGCGUAAGGUUUU
This 790-nucleotide ribosomal RNA is filed under the name Meloe mediterraneus. Its description in RNAcentral is "partial large subunit ribosomal RNA". The stretch from base 1 to 591 matches the Rfam family "Archaeal large subunit ribosomal RNA", at positions 1908 to 2987 of the family's 2987-position model. Lineage: Eukaryota; Metazoa; Arthropoda; Insecta; Coleoptera; Meloidae. The record is from RNAcentral.